Carica papaya (papaya) is the source of this 951-nucleotide non-coding RNA. The record is from RefSeq and is a predicted model, not a curated record. Lineage: Eukaryota; Viridiplantae; Streptophyta; Magnoliopsida; Brassicales; Caricaceae.
CUGAGGAGAGUAUUAUUACCGGAUACAGCGAAUGACAGAGAGAAGAGUAAGGAAAUCAAGAAAAAGGAAGCAGCAAGCUAUUUCCCCCACCUUCGUUCUUGCUACCGCUUAAUGUAUUCAUUCGUUUAGUUUAAUGUGUACUUGCUCGUCAGCGAUCAUGGCUUUAGUCUCUUCAAAUCAGCCUCCUAUAAUCUGAGAGGAGUAUUUUGGUUUUCUCCUUGGUUGAUUUUUUUAUGUUUUCUGUUUCAGUGACGGGGGAUACGGAGAGUUGCAGUAGCAGAGCUGUUGUCUUUGCGCCAAGCCAGAGCCGAAAACAGAGGCAAAAGGUUGACGUGUGUAUUGAAAUUCUCUGUAGGCUUAGAGAACUGAAUAUUGAAGAGGCAAGCCUUCCUGGUUUUGAAGAUGAGCUAUGGGCUCAUUUCCAUAAACUCCCUACUAGAUGCUCACUUGAUGUGAAUGCGGAGAGAGCACUAGAUGUUCUAAUGCACAAAAAGUUAUUAGAUAUGGCCCGUGAUUCCUCUGGCAGGCCCGCCAUGGAAUUCCUUCCUGUACAGGUAUUUUCACCUUUUGAUCGAAAUCAUGAUGGUUCAGUGCAUUUAAGGUCUCUAGGGAAAGCAGAUGCUCAAUGUUCAGAUAAUCCAGACAAGGGCAGCAUUCAUCCUCCACCUACCUUUGGUUCUUCACCUGAUCUCAAGCUUGUAUAUGCAGCAAAGAAUUCAAACUUUGAAACAAGGAUGUUGUCCCAAAUGCUAGUCCAUGUUUCUCUCAGUUAAUAUUUCUGAAAAGUUCUCUUUAGAGUGUCUUGAAUCAAAAUAAAUUAAACAACCAUGGGGAAGAGUGUUCAUAUAUUCUCCAAGAAAGUAAAGGAAAAUAUUGGGGAGAUCCUUCGAUCAUAAGCUAAUGCAUGAAAUUACAAUCUCAACAACCGACAAGCCAAAACUCAAAACUCAG